This 18-nucleotide small nuclear RNA is filed under the name Arabidopsis thaliana (thale cress). Its description in RNAcentral is "snRNA_06758". The record is from RNAcentral. Lineage: Eukaryota; Viridiplantae; Streptophyta; Magnoliopsida; Brassicales; Brassicaceae.
AUUUUGUUUCGAAAGAGA